CCUACGGGGGGCAGCAGUGGGGAAUAUUGGACAAUGGGGGCAACCCUGAUCCAGCCAUGCCGCGUGUGUGAAGAAGGCCCUCGGGUUGUAAAGCACUUUCAGUGAGGAAGAACGCCUGGUGGUUAAUACCCAUCAGGAAAGACAUCACUCACAGAAGAAGCACCGGCUAACUCCGUGCCAGCAGCCGCGGUAAUACGGAGGGUGCGAGCGUUAAUCGGAAUUACUGGGCGUAAAGCGCGCGUAGGUGGCUUGAUAAGCCGGUUGUGAAAGCCCCGGGCUCAACCUGGGAACGGCAUCCGGGAAGGAUACAGCAGGAGUGCAGGGGCGGAAGGGAGAAGUACCGGGGUGGAGGUGAAGGGCGUAGAGCACGGGAGGAAGACCAGGGGAGAAGGGGGCCUAAGGGACUGACACUGACAUGGAGGUACGAAAGCGUGGGGAGCAAACAGGAUUAGAGCGCCUAGUAGGC
This 466-nucleotide ribosomal RNA is filed under the name Vreelandella stevensii. Its description in RNAcentral is "partial 16S ribosomal RNA". It matches the Rfam family "Bacterial small subunit ribosomal RNA", at positions 338 to 795 of the family's 1533-position model. The record is from RNAcentral. Lineage: Bacteria; Pseudomonadati; Pseudomonadota; Gammaproteobacteria; Oceanospirillales; Halomonadaceae.